This 508-nucleotide ribosomal RNA is filed under the name uncultured bacterium. Its description in RNAcentral is "partial 16S ribosomal RNA". It matches the Rfam family "Bacterial small subunit ribosomal RNA", at positions 28 to 507 of the family's 1533-position model. The record is from RNAcentral.
GACGAACGCUGGCGGCGUGCCUAAUACAUGCAAGUCGAACGCUUCUUUCCUCCCGAGUGCUUGCACUCAAUUGGAAAGAGGAGUGGCGGACGGGUGAGUAACACGUGGGUAACCUACCCAUCAGAGGGGGAUAACACUUGGAAACAGGUGCUAAUACCGCAUAACAGUUUAUGCCGCAUGGCAUAAGAGUGAAAGGCGCUUUCGGGUGUCGUUGAUGGAUGGACCCGCGGUGCAUUAGCUAGUUGGUGAGGUAACGGCUCACCAAGGCCACGAUGCAUAGCCGACCUGAGAGGGUGAUCGGCCACACUGGGACUGAGACACGGCCCAGACUCCUACGGGAGGCAGCAGUAGGGAAUCUUCGGCAAUGGACGAAAGUCUGACCGAGCAACGCCGCGUGAGUGAAGAAGGUUUUCGGAUCGUAAAACUCUGUUGUCAGAGAAGAACAAGGACGUUAGUAACUGAACGUCCCCUGACGGUAUCUAACCAGAAAGCCACGGCUAACUACGUG